Non-coding RNA from Myotis davidii, 74 nucleotides. Lineage: Eukaryota; Metazoa; Chordata; Mammalia; Chiroptera; Vespertilionidae. The record is from Rfam.
AGUGGUUCUCGGGUGACACACCCCAGAGCCAGAGGAGGGAGCCUGAUUCCGGGGUGCGUCACCCAAGAACCGCC